UAGGAUGAGAACUAUAUCCUUGCAUAGUCC
This 30-nucleotide non-coding RNA is filed under the name Mus musculus (house mouse). The record is from RNAcentral. Lineage: Eukaryota; Metazoa; Chordata; Mammalia; Rodentia; Muridae.